RNAcentral lists this ribosomal RNA (465 nucleotides) under Vreelandella stevensii. Its description in RNAcentral is "partial 16S ribosomal RNA". It matches the Rfam family "Bacterial small subunit ribosomal RNA", at positions 338 to 795 of the family's 1533-position model. Lineage: Bacteria; Pseudomonadati; Pseudomonadota; Gammaproteobacteria; Oceanospirillales; Halomonadaceae. The record is from RNAcentral.
CCUACGGGAGGCAGUAGUGGGGAAUAUUGGACAAUGGGCGAAAGCCUAAUCCAGCCAUGCCGCGUGUGUGAAGAAGGCCUUCGGGUUGUAAAGCACUUUCAGUGGGGAAGAAAGCCUUGGGGCUAAUACCCUCGAGGAAGGACAUCACCCACAGAAGAAGCACCGGCUAACUCCGUGCCAGCAGCCGCGGUAAUACGGAGGGUGCGAGCGUUAAUCGGAAUUACUGGGCGUAAAGCGCGCGUAGGCGGUCUGAUAAGCCGGUUGUGAAAGCCCCGGGCUCAACCUGGGAACGGCAUCCGGAACUGUCAGGCUAGAGUGCAGGAGAGGAAGGUAGAAUUCCCGGUGUAGCGGUGAAAUGCGUAGAGAUCGGGAGGAAUACCAGUGGCGAAGGCGGCCUUCUGGACUGACACUGACGCUGAGGUGCGAAAGCGUGGGUAGCAAACAGGAUUAGAUACCCUAGUAGUC